This 435-nucleotide ribosomal RNA is filed under the name uncultured bacterium. Its description in RNAcentral is "partial 16S ribosomal RNA". It matches the Rfam family "Bacterial small subunit ribosomal RNA", at positions 29 to 507 of the family's 1533-position model. The record is from RNAcentral.
AACGAACGCUGGCGGCAUGCCUAACACAUGCAAGUCGAACGAUUGCCUUCGGGUGAUAGUGGCGCACGGGUGCGUAACGCGUGGGAAUCUGCCCUUAGGUUCGGAAUAACAGCUGGAAACGGCUGCUAAUACCGGAUGAUAUCGCGAGAUCAAAGAUUUAUCGCCUGAGGAUGAGCCCGCGUUGGAUUAGGUAGUUGGUGGGGUAAAGGCCUACCAAGCCGACGAUCCAUAGCUGGUCUGAGAGGAUGAUCAGCCACACUGGGACUGAGACACGGCCCAGACUCCUACGGGAGGCAGGAGUGGGGAAUAUUGGACAAUGGGCGCAAGCCUGAUCCAGCAAUGCCGCGUGAGUGAUGAAGGCACUAGGGUUGUAAAGCUCUUUUACCCGGGAAGAUAAUGACUGUACCGGGAGAAUAAGCCCCGGCUAACUCCGUG